UUUCGUGUGAACAGCAGUUGAUCCCGAAUCAGUCGGUCCUAAGGAAUAGGGGAAACCCGUUCCGAAUUGAGGGAGUAUGAAAACAUAUCUGGCAAAAAUGGCAAAAUAAAACUAUUUGAAAAUAUGGYUAUAAUUCCUGAAUUGACCGAAAGGGAAUCGGGUUAAUAUUCCCGAACCCGGAUGCGGAAAUCGACCCCCAGUGGGUCUAAAGCGGCAACGCAAACGAACUCGGAGACGUCGGCGGGAGUCCCGGGAAGAGUUCUCUUUUCUUUGUAAGGAACGGACUCCCUGGAAUCGGUUCGCCCGGAGAUAGGGACGUUGUUUCCGUAAAGCACCGCGGCUCAUGCGGUGUCCGGAGCACUCCCGCCGACCCUUGAAAAUCCGAGGGAGAGACACAUCUUGAUUUUCGCACCGGACCGUACCCAUAUCCGCAGCAGGUCUCCAAGGUGAACAGCCUCUAGUCGAUAGAACA
Molecule: ribosomal RNA, 472 nt
Filed under: Paralamyctes rahuensis
Lineage: Eukaryota; Metazoa; Arthropoda; Chilopoda; Lithobiomorpha; Henicopidae
Description: eukaryotic LSU rRNA
Rfam family: Eukaryotic large subunit ribosomal RNA
Source: RNAcentral